AUGAUCACCAUCGCCAUCACCAUCAUCACCACCAUCAACCAUCACUAUCAUCACCAUCACCAUCAUCACCAUCACCAUCAUUGCCACCAUCACCAUCAUCACCAUCACCAUCAUCACCAUCACCAUCAUUGCCACCAUCACAUCACCAUCACUAUCACCAUGAUCACCAUCACCAUCACCAUGAUCACCAUCACCAUCACCAUCAUCACCAUCACCAUCAUCACCAUCAACCAUCACCACCAUCAUCACCAUCAUCACCAUCACCACCAUCACCAUCAUCACCAUCACCACCAUCAUCAUCACCGGCAUCACCAUCAACACCAUCGUCUCCACCGCCUCCACCAUUGCCACCACCAUCACUGUCAUCACCACCAUCAUCACCCUCACCACCAUCCUCACCAUCACCAUCAUCAUCUCCAUCAUCACCACCACCAUCACCACCACCGUCACCGUCACCAUAACCCUCACCACAUAGCACGCACGGUGGCAAGUCCACUGGCUCUGUGUCAGACGCCCCUUUCAACACUUUACACACAUCAUUCUAGUGACUCAUCACGACCCCGUGAGGCAGUUUCUAUAUGUCACCCCCGGGCUUCCCAGGAGCAAGUUGGAGCUCAGACCAGAGAUGCGAUUUGCCCAAAGUCACGCGGCUGCCAGGCGCAGCCCACGGCCGCACGUUGCCGAGCGCAGAGGCCGUCUGUUGCGCAGCUUGGGGGGGGGGGUCUCGCUGUGGCCCUGGGGAUGUGUCAGGGGGUUUUGGGGGGAGCGGAAGCAAGCAAGGACCUCUGGAGAGCAAGCAGGGUGGGAUGGGGCGGGGGCAGUGGUCAGACCGGUCGGCAGGACGAGAGGGCCGUGCUGCAGGGUUUUCUUGGCUCCUGGGCCUCAGGGCAGAACGCCAAGCCCCCUCAGAAGAGCCGGUCCUACCCUGGUUGUGCCCCAAGCUCUCUCUCCCUCUCUGGGCCUCAGUUUCUUCAUCUGCAGAGUGAAGAGUCUGGACCGGACUGCCCCCAAGAGUCUUUCUGCGCUAACAUUCUCAGGUGCUGA
Molecule: long non-coding RNA, 1044 nt
Filed under: Felis catus (domestic cat)
Lineage: Eukaryota; Metazoa; Chordata; Mammalia; Carnivora; Felidae
Description: lncRNA (ENSFCAG00000053552.1)
Source: RNAcentral